GUAGGGAAUAUUGGGCAAUGGAGGCAACUCUGACCCAGCCAUGCCGCGUGCAGGAUGACGGCCCUCUGGGUUGUAAACUGCUUUUAUACGGGAAGAAAAAAUACUACGUGUAGUAUACUGACGGUACCGUAAGAAUAAGGAUCGGCUAACUACGUGCCAGCAGCCGCGGUAAUACGGAGGAUCCAAGCGUUGUCCGGAUUUAUUGGGUUUAAAGGGUGCGUAGGCGGAUCUUUAAGUCAGUGGUGAAAGCCUGCAGCUUAACUGUAGAAUUGCCAUUGAAACUGAAGAUCUUGAAUGUGGUUAAAGUAGGCGGAAUGUAUCAUGUAGCGGUGAAAUGCUUAGAUAUGAUACAGAACACCGAUAGCGAAGGCAGCUUGCUGAACCAUUAUUGACGCUGAGGCACGAAAGCGUGGGGAGCGAACAGGAUUAGAUACCCUAGUAGUCC
Molecule: ribosomal RNA, 445 nt
Filed under: uncultured bacterium
Lineage: Bacteria
Description: partial 16S ribosomal RNA
Rfam family: Bacterial small subunit ribosomal RNA
Source: RNAcentral